AGAUUGAACGCUGGCGGCAUGCCUUACACAUGCAAGUCGAACGCGAAAGGGGGAGCAAUCCCCUUAGUAGAGUGGCGAACGGGUGAGUAAUACAUCGGAACGUGUCCAGUAGCGGGGAUAACCUCUCGAAAGAGAGGCUAAUACCGCAUACGACCUACGGGUGAAAGGGGGGGAUCGCAAGACCUCCCACUAUUGGAGCGGCCGAUGUCGGAUUAGCUAGUUGGACGGGUAAAAGCCCAACCAAGGCGACGAUCCGUAGCUGGUCUGAGACGGACGGCCAGCCACACUGGAACUGAGACACGGUCCAGACCUCCUACGGGAGCAGGCAGGUGGGUAAUUUGGACAAGUGGGACGAAAGCCUGAUCCAAGCCAGUCGCCGUCGUGGAGUAGAAGAAGGUCCGUUAGGGUUACGUAAAG
Molecule: ribosomal RNA, 417 nt
Filed under: uncultured soil bacterium
Lineage: Bacteria
Description: bacterial SSU rRNA
Rfam family: Bacterial small subunit ribosomal RNA
Source: RNAcentral